This 460-nucleotide ribosomal RNA is filed under the name uncultured bacterium. RNAcentral's name for it is "partial 16S ribosomal RNA". It matches the Rfam family "Bacterial small subunit ribosomal RNA", at positions 338 to 795 of the family's 1533-position model. The record is from RNAcentral.
CCUACGGGAGGCAGCAGUGAGGAAUAUUGGUCAAUGGACGAACGUCUGAACCAGCCAAGUAGCGUGAAGGAUGACUGCCCUAUGGGUUGUAAACUUCUUUUAUAUGGGAGUAAAAUGUUCCACGUGUGGGAUUUUGUAUGUACCAUAUUAAUAAGGAUCGGCUAACUCCGUGCCCGCAGCCGCCGUGAUACGGAGGAUCCGAGCGUUAUCCGGAUUUAUUUGGUUUAAAGGGAGCGUAGGUGGAUUGUCAAGUCAGUUGGGAAAGUUGGCGGCUCAAACGUAACAGUGCAGUUGAAACUGGCAGUCUUGAGUACAGUAGAGGUGGGCGGAAUGCGUGGUGUAGCGGUGAAAUGCUUAGAUAUCACGAAGAACUCCGAUUGCGAAGGCAGUUCACUGGAGUGCAACUGACACUGAGGCUCGAAAGUGUGGGUAUCAAACAGGAUUAGAUACCCCUGUAGUC